CAGGCACACCGUGUUGGCGUUGAGCACGGGCUCUUGGGGGAGGCGGAGGCCCAGGAUAUCGUUGGGUGCAGACCUGCAGGCAGGUCCCCUGCCCCAGCAGGCGCGCAGAGGUCCCUGUGGCUGGGGGUCCCAGCUCUCCAGGAGGGCGGGGCAUAAGGUGAGGGCUCACCUGGGCACGGAGGCAGCCAGCAGCAGUAGGAAGAAGAGAGCGCAGAGCGCGGGCCGCGGCUGGGGCCGAGGUCGGAGCCGCAGCCAGGGGCAAGGGCCAAAUGACUGUCAAGAGACCUCUCCAGCACUGUUCAAAAGCAUCAAUUCUUUGGUGCUUAGCCUGAAGAAGGCAGAAAUGUGAAUAAAAACCCUAUCCUGUACAGUGCUUCAUUUUUCUUCCAUGGACCCACAAUGCUGGCUCCAUUCUCCUGUCUUGGCUUCACUCCAGGGUGCCGAUGUGAUCUUCGAGGGCCGAACCAGGGAAUGACAGUGAUGCUGGGUACCUUCCAAGGCUGAACCCUAAGAAGACACUGCAGUUUCUGCCUUCAAGUUUGGCACAGUAUAAUUUGAAAUCCAGCUUUAUGCUGUGGCCACCAUGCUGUAAGGAAGCCCAAGCUAGUCACAUGGAGAGAAGGAGGCUACUGGAGAAACUCUGGGACACUGGAUAUACACGAGUGAAGCCUUUUGGACUGUCCAUCCCAGCAGAGCCACCAGCAGAAUCAGCCAAGUGGAUGACUACAACCAAUAGCUCUGUCACAAAGAGCAGAACCAUCCAGCUGAGUCCUGACAAAUUCCUGACCUAAAGGAUCACGAGGAAUAAUUACUUUGGGAUUGUUUGUUAUGCAGCAAUGGAUAACUGAAACAAUGAUAUUCCUACUGCAUAGGUAAAGACACUGGAACUAAGAUGGCCUAUAUCGACUUCUAAGCAACAGCACUGGUUUCCAACCCAGAGUGCCUGAAUCUAAUGUUCAUGCUUCGCUCUGCAUACCUUGAUGGGAGUAGUCAUUCUCCACUGCAGUUUUUGGACUGUGGGGACGUUGGGGGCUCCGACUCCCAGCCAUUUGGCUAUGUCCUCUUCCAUUCUCUCUGGAGAAAGAUGAGGGCCUUACCCUCAAUUCUGGAAAACCCAGAACCCCAAAUCUUCUUCUGUCCCUUUACCCUCACCAUUAACUUUCCAAGAGGAAUCAGAAAGGCAGAAAUGUAACCUUGGGACAGCUUUGCUUCACCUCCCUCUAAGUUUGAUUGGAAAUGCCAUUCUAAGUUCUUUCAGUGUUAGUGGGGGUGAAGUUAGUUUUGAUGACAACAAAAUCUGAUGUAACUAAGGACAUUUCCAUCAUAUUCUACCGUUUAUAAAGUUAACUUUUGAGUUUGGGUGGCCUUAUAAGUCUACCCUCAAAUUUCCCAGAAACAGAAAAACAAAUAAACUGCCUCCACCCAGAAUUAGGACAAGGGCUGACCUGAGAACUUAGCACACCACCAGAGGCUUCUGGUCCUCUUUCCCUAGAUCCCCUCAGUCUGCUCAUUAAAGGGGAUCCCAGUUCUCCCUCAGCUUGCAGAUACAGACCCUAGAUGUACACCAGAGUGAACAAGAAUAAUGCCAAGGGCGGGAUCUGGGACUCUUCACCACCAGGAGAGCCCAGUUCUGGAAGACAGAUGGGGACCCAGGUGAUGACCCCUGAGAGGGCCGUUCUAUCAAAACCAUCUCCCUUUACUCCUUUCAGAGCCUC
This is a long non-coding RNA of Capra hircus (goat), 1715 nucleotides long. RefSeq lists it as uncharacterized. The transcript is spliced from 5 exons. The record is from RefSeq and is a predicted model, not a curated record. NCBI's taxonomy places the organism in Eukaryota, Metazoa, Chordata, Mammalia, Artiodactyla, Bovidae.